This 494-nucleotide ribosomal RNA is filed under the name uncultured bacterium. Its description in RNAcentral is "bacterial SSU rRNA". It matches the Rfam family "Bacterial small subunit ribosomal RNA", at positions 903 to 1397 of the family's 1533-position model. The record is from RNAcentral.
AAAGGAAUAGACGGGGACCCGCACAAGCAGCGGAGCAUGUGGUUUAAUUCGAAGCAACGCGAAGAACCUUACCAGAGCUUGACAUCCUCCUGACCGGGGAAGUAAUGUUCCCCUUCUCUUCGGAGCAGGAGUGACAGGUGGUGCAUGGUUGUCGUCAGCUCGUGUCGUGAGAUGUUGGGUCAAGUCCCGCAACGAGCGCAACCCUUGCUGUCAGUUGCCAUCAUUAAGUUGGGCACUCUGACGGGACUGCCGGGGAUAACCCGGAGGAAGGCGGGGAUGACGUCAAAUCAUCAUGCCCCUUAUGUUCUGGGCGACACACGUGCUACAAUGGCCGGCACAGAGGGAAGCGAAAGAGCGAUCUCAAGCAAACCCCUAAAGCCGGUCCCAGUUCGGACUGCAGGCUGAAACCCGCCUGCACGAAGUCGGAGUUGCUAGUAAUCGCGGAUCAGAAUGCCGCGGUGAAUGCGUUCCCGGGUCUUGUACACACCGCCCGU